UAUUCAAAUUAAUUUAAUUAAUUUUACUUUUAAGUCUAAAAAAAUAAUUUUUUGGAAGUUAUUUUAUCUUUAUAUUAUAAAAGUUUAGCCCAUAGAAGACUUUCAUAUUUACUGCACCUUGAUCUAAUUGCUUUAAAAAAAAUUUCGAAAAAUUUCUGGGGAAUUUUUCUUUAAACGACGGUAUACAAAUUUAAAGUAAUGAAAGAAAAACAUUAACGUGGAUUAUCGAUUACCUUACAGGCCUCCCUAACAAGAUAUAAAAUACCGUCAGAUUUUUUAGGUUUCU
RNAcentral lists this ribosomal RNA (286 nucleotides) under Parabathynellidae sp. (Pilbara) 18 EM-2019. RNAcentral describes it as "partial small subunit ribosomal RNA". The record is from RNAcentral. Lineage: Eukaryota; Metazoa; Arthropoda; Malacostraca; Bathynellacea; Parabathynellidae.